RNAcentral lists this ribosomal RNA (253 nucleotides) under uncultured bacterium. RNAcentral's name for it is "partial 16S ribosomal RNA". It matches the Rfam family "Bacterial small subunit ribosomal RNA", at positions 524 to 776 of the family's 1533-position model. The record is from RNAcentral.
UACGUAGGGGGCUAGCGUUGUCCGGAAUUAUUGGGCGUAAAGAGCUCGUAGGCGGUUUGUCGCGUCGGCUGUGAAAACUCGGGGCUCAACCCCGAGCUUGCAGUCGAUACGGGCAGACUAGAGUUCGGCAGGGGAGACUGGAAUUCCUGGUGUAGCGGUGAAAUGCGCAGAUAUCAGGAGGAACACCGGUGGCGAAGGCGGGUCUCUGGGCCGUAACUGACGCUGAGGAGCGAAAGCAUGGGGAGCGAACAGG